This 253-nucleotide ribosomal RNA is filed under the name uncultured bacterium. Its description in RNAcentral is "partial 16S ribosomal RNA". It matches the Rfam family "Bacterial small subunit ribosomal RNA", at positions 524 to 776 of the family's 1533-position model. The record is from RNAcentral.
UACGUAGGGGGCGAGCGUUGUCCGGAAUGACUGGGCGUAAAGGGCGCGUAGGCGGCGGUCACAGUCAGAUGUGAAAUUCCUGGGCUUAACCUGGGGGCUGCAUUUGAUACGUGGUUGCUUGAGUGGGGAAGAGGGUCGUGGAAUUCCCAGUGUAGAGGUGAAAUUCGUAGAUAUUGGGAAGAACACCGGUGGCGAAGGCGGCGACCUGGUCCUUGACUGACGCUGAGGCGCGAAAGCGUGGGGAGCAAACAGG